UACGGAGGGGGCUAGCGUUGUUCGGAAUUACUGGGCGUAAAGCGCGCGUAGGCGGCUUUGUAAGUUAGAGGUGAAAGCCCUAAGCUCAACUUCUGAAUUGCCUUUAAGACUGCAUCGCUAGAAUCAUGGAGAGGUUAGUGGAAAUCCGAGUGUAGAGGUGAAAUUCGUAGAUAUUCGGAAGAACACCAGUGGCGAAGGCGACUAACUGGACAUGUAUUGACGCUGAGGUGCGAAAGCGUGGGUAGCAAACAGG
RNAcentral lists this ribosomal RNA (253 nucleotides) under uncultured bacterium. RNAcentral's name for it is "partial 16S ribosomal RNA". It matches the Rfam family "Bacterial small subunit ribosomal RNA", at positions 524 to 776 of the family's 1533-position model. The record is from RNAcentral.